RNAcentral lists this transfer RNA (65 nucleotides) under Nanhaipotamon hongkongense. RNAcentral's name for it is "tRNA-Leu". Lineage: Eukaryota; Metazoa; Arthropoda; Malacostraca; Decapoda; Potamidae. The record is from RNAcentral.
AUUAUUUUGGCAGAUAAUAUGCAUUAAAUUUAGGAUUUAAUUAUAUAGUAAAUCUAUAAAUAAUA